This 496-nucleotide ribosomal RNA is filed under the name uncultured bacterium. RNAcentral describes it as "partial 16S ribosomal RNA". It matches the Rfam family "Bacterial small subunit ribosomal RNA", at positions 29 to 507 of the family's 1533-position model. The record is from RNAcentral.
AUGAACGCUGGCGGCGUGCCUCAUACAUGCAAGUCGAGCGAACGGACGAGAAGCUUGCUUCUCUGAUGUUAGCGGCGGACGGGUGAGUAACACGUGGAUAACCUACCUAUAAGACUGGGAUAACUUCGGGAAACCGGAGCUAAUACCGGAUAAUAUUUUGAACCGCAUGGUUCAAAAGUGAAAGGCGGUCUUGCUGUCACUUAUAGAUGGAUCCGCGCUGCAUUAGCUAGUUGGUAAGGUAACGGCUUACCAAGGCAACGAUGCAUAGCCGACCUGAGAGGGUGAUCGGCCACACUGGAACUGAGACACGGUCCAGACUCCUACGGGAGGCAGCAGUAGGGAAUCUUCCGCAAUGGGCGAAAGCCUGACGGAGCAACGCCGCGUGAGUGAUGAAGGUCUUCGGAUCGUAAAACUCUGUUAUUAGGGAAGAACAUAUGUGUAAGUAACUGUGCACAUCUUGACGGUACCUAAUCAGAAAGCCACGGCUAACUACGUG